GACGUAGGGCGCAAGCGUUGUCCGGAUUUAUUGGGCGUAAAGGGCUCGUAGGCGGUUUGUCGCGUCGGGAGUGAAAACCUACAGCUUAACUGUGGGCUUGCUUUCGAUACGGGCAGACUAGAGGUAUGCAGGGGAGAACGGAAUUCCUGGUGUAGCGGUGAAAUGCGCAGAUAUCAGGAGGAACACCGGUGGCGAAGGCGGUUCUCUGGGCAUGAUCUGACGCUGAGGAGCGAAAGCGUGGGGAGCGAACAGG
This 253-nucleotide ribosomal RNA is filed under the name uncultured bacterium. RNAcentral's name for it is "partial 16S ribosomal RNA". It matches the Rfam family "Bacterial small subunit ribosomal RNA", at positions 524 to 776 of the family's 1533-position model. The record is from RNAcentral.